CUGGCCCCACUUCGACCAACCCCCACAGCCGUCACAACCCUUCCUCCUCCUCCAUCCUCCCUCUCCCUCUCUCGUCAGCCGUCGCCGCCAUUUUGCCUCCGUCGUCUUUGUCCGACGCCGACGACCAGCCCAUCCCACUGUCUCCGGAUCCGUGCUCCGCAGCGCACGUGCGGACGCCCGAGCACAAGGAGGUGAGCGGUGGCGUGGUGGCUCCUCACCGCUGUUUCGGCGACCGGGAAAGACGGAGAGGAGCGGAAACUGCUUCCUCCUCACAGCGGUCGACUGGUUGACGCGUGGCACCACCGCGUGCUCGUCUCCUCUGCAUCGUGAGCGGCGCCGCCUCUGCCCCCACACAAGAGAAGCAUCGCCGUUGCCAUGUCCUCGGCAAAGGUGGAGCGCGGGAUCCUGUGAUGGCUGCUGCCGUUGCCGCCGUCCUUUCUCUCGCUGCCGCCACCACCCCUCCGCCUCCCUCACCCCGCCGCUGCAAUCCCAGGUGAGGCCCGCGGAUGAGGAAUGCGGGGGCGACGUCGAGCGCCGGCCAUGUCCCUCUCGCUCCUACGGCCAUUUGCGGCAGCGAACUGUGGCGAGAUGAUGGUGAACGAAGACGAUGCAUCAUCCUCGUCUCACGAGGAUGGAAACAGUAGCAGAUCGAGGAGGACGGCGCGACCACGACUGUGGCACAGGUCAAGAGUUCAUGUUCUUUCUUUUACAUUUUUGCAGGCCUUUUCUCUCCAAGUGCAGAACACUUUCCCGCUCCCCAUCGAUGACAAUCUUCCUGGUAUUUACCUUUGCUGUUAUCAUUCCGGGCCUUGCAUGGAGCAACAUCUUAUCUUAUGGUUCACCCAGAAGGAAACAUAAUGGUUGACAGAUGCAGAUACGUAUGCCACAAGCUGUGCCAACCUCAAAGGUUAGAGAUCCCCGCUUGGGUCGAUAUCGGAGAGGCAUUGCUGAUUGAGUGGUGCCAGCCGGAGGAGAUGAUGACCCAACAGCAUGGAAAAACAAUGCUUACUGGAGGCAAUGUUCUCUUCUUGUUGAGGGGAAAUGGUAUAUUGCUCUUCUUCAUGAAGUGGAUUUCAGCUAUUCUAAGGGCUUUCCCUGUGACUCUCUACCUAACAGGGCUUUCCGUGUGACUCUACCUAAUGUUUUGCCGGUAAUUUCUAAAGCUUGGUGGGUCUAUUUAGAGACUUCAGAUUGUUUUAUUCUUGCCAUAGUGAUUAGCACUACACCAAAUGGUAUACAUUUCUGUAUUGUGCCCUGCAGGAAACUUGUGGUGGCCAUAAGCAAUUUCAAGAGCUCGCUGUAAUCAUUUGAAUAGUUACAUUCUUCAUGUUCUGAAUGAGCUGACAAGGAAGGAAUCUUGGUUUCACGGACUAUAUGAUCUCGAAGACUGCUUCUCCUUUGGUCUCUUCACCAAGGUUUGCUCCCUUUCUCACUGUUGAUGCAUUAGCUUUGUUUCUAUUAUAUUCUUGUGAUGCUUUGUGUCUGUGCUGAUCCACCGCCAACUGAGGUAUACAAAUAUGUUAUAUUUCCUGCAUUUGUGCUGAUCCACACAAUUUGCUGGUCUCCACCUUAUUCCUUUUCGGACAUCUGCAUUUGUAUAUGUAGUCAUGUACACCCACUUCAAAAAUGAGCAAGGCUACCCCUUCAGCUGCAGCUGUAGGGUACUAUGACUGGACUUGGCGUCUGAUUUCAAUUGUCUUGAUCUUUGAUUCAUGCUGACUCCCUUUAAAGGCCCCUAGAUGUGUUUUAAUUACCACUCCUGCCAAGAAGAUAAACAUGGCAGCUGAGCCUAUAGUUCCAGCUGAGGAACAACCCAAGGUUGACAGUGACACUGCACAUGGAGCUUCUCUGACUGCUACUGAAGACACCGCGAUCAGCUUAACAAGCCAAAGAGAAUGUGCUAUUCAGUAGGCAUGAUUUAUAUGGAGAGGGAGAAUGCCGGCAGCCGGAAUUCUGGACCGGAAACGAGCAAAUCUGAGAUACCUAUUCUACACAACUCCAAAUGUCCUGAAACUUUACGGAGAAUUAUUUUGGAAUAUAUAAAAUAUUGGGUGAAUAAACAAUAGAAGGGGACCCACCAGGAGGCCACAAGCCUGGGGGCGCUCUACCCCCAAGGCGCCCCCCAAGGCUUGUGGGCCCCCUGGCAUCGUCUGGUGCCCAUCUUCUACUAUAUGAAGGGUUUUGACCUAGAAGAAAUAGGAAGAGAGCUUUCGGGACGAAGCGCCGCCGUCUCGAGGCGGAACUUGGGCAGAAGCAAUCUAGGGCUCCGGCGGAGCUAUUCUGCCGGGGAAACUUC
Long non-coding RNA from Aegilops tauschii subsp. strangulata, 2296 nucleotides. RefSeq lists it as uncharacterized. Lineage: Eukaryota; Viridiplantae; Streptophyta; Magnoliopsida; Poales; Poaceae. The record is from RefSeq and is a predicted model, not a curated record.